GGUGCUGUGGUGUAGUCGGUUAUCACGUCAGUCUUACACACUGAAGGUCCCCAGUUCGAACCUGGGCAGCAUCA
This 74-nucleotide transfer RNA is filed under the name Taxus chinensis. RNAcentral's name for it is "Taxus wallichiana var. chinensis tRNA". It matches the Rfam family "tRNA". From Rfam's summary of the family: Transfer RNA (tRNA) molecules are approximately 80 nucleotides in length. Their secondary structure includes four short double-helical elements and three loops (D, anti-codon, and T loops). Further hydrogen bonds mediate the characteristic L-shaped molecular structure. tRNAs have two regions of fundamental functional importance: the anti-codon, which is responsible for specific mRNA codon recognition, and the 3' end, to which the tRNAs corresponding amino acid is attached (by aminoacyl-tRNA synthetases). tRNAs cope with the degeneracy of the genetic code in two manners: having more than one tRNA (with a specific anti-codon) for a particular amino acid; and 'wobble' base-pairing, i.e. permitting non-standard base-pairing at the 3rd anti-codon position. Lineage: Eukaryota; Viridiplantae; Streptophyta; Pinopsida; Cupressales; Taxaceae. The record is from Rfam by way of RNAcentral.